GAUGAAGAACGUAGCGAAAUGCGAUAAGUAAUGUGAAUUGCAGAAUUCAGUGAAUCAUCGAAUCUUUGAACGCACCUUGCACCCUUUGGUAUUCUGAAGGGUAUGCUCGUUUGAGUGUCAUUGUACUCUCACACUCCCGAUCUUGAGUUGGGAGCGGUGGACUUGGGUUUGCUGCUUAACUGUAGCUCACCUCAAAUGUGUUAGUGCAGCUCUUGGUUGGACAUAGUACGGCGUGAUAAGUAUCUUCGCCGGUGCCUCGCAAAGAGGGUGGCCGAUCGGGAUGUUGUGCUCCAAACUGUCUUCGGACAAUCUCUGACAACUUGACCUCAAAUCGAGUAAGACUACCCGCUGAACUUAAGCAUAUCAAUAAGCGGAGGA
Molecule: unclassified non-coding RNA, 378 nt
Filed under: soil metagenome
Description: partial contains 5.8S ribosomal RNA, internal transcribed spacer 2, and large subunit ribosomal RNA
Rfam family: 5.8S ribosomal RNA (bases 1-120)
Source: RNAcentral